UGCAAGUCGAACGAAACUUUCUUACACCGAAUGCUUGCAUUCACCGUAAGAAGUUGAGUGGCGGACGGGUGAGUAACACGUGGGUAACCUGCCUAAAAGAAGGGGAUAACACUUGGAAACAGGUGCUAAUACCGUAUAUCUCUAAGGAUCGCAUGAUCCUUAGAUGAAAGAUGGUUCUGCUAUCGCUUUUAGAUGGACCCGCGGCGUAUUAACUAGUUGGUGGGGUAACGGCCUACCAAGGUGAUGAUACGUAGCCGAACUGAGAGGUUGAUCGGCCACAUUGGGACUGAGACACGGCCCAAACUCCUACGGGAGGCAGCAGUAGGGAAUCUUCCACAAUGGACGCAAGUCUGAUGGAGCAACGCCGCGUGAGUGAAGAAGGUCUUCGGAUCGUAAAACUCUGUUGUUAGAGAAGAACACGAGUGAGAGUAACUGUUCAUUCGAUGACGGUAUCUAACCAGCAAGUCACGGCUAACUACGUGCCAGCAGCCGCGGUAAUACGUAGGUGGCAAGCGUUGUCCGGAUUUAUUGGGCGUAAAGGGAACGCAGGCGGUCUUUUAAGUCUGAUGUGAAAGCCUUCGGCUUAACCGGAGUAGUGCAUUGGAAACUG
Molecule: ribosomal RNA, 610 nt
Filed under: Ligilactobacillus salivarius
Lineage: Bacteria; Bacillati; Bacillota; Bacilli; Lactobacillales; Lactobacillaceae
Description: bacterial SSU rRNA
Rfam family: Bacterial small subunit ribosomal RNA
Source: RNAcentral